Cydia splendana is the source of this 487-nucleotide long non-coding RNA. RefSeq lists it as uncharacterized. The transcript has 3 exons. The record is from RefSeq and is a predicted model, not a curated record. Lineage: Eukaryota; Metazoa; Arthropoda; Insecta; Lepidoptera; Tortricidae.
UAUUUAGAUGUACAGGCGUGCAGCGGCACUUCUUCACUUUUUCUAACAACGCGCAGGGUGAGCAGGAAAUCAGCCGUAGCCAUAUCAAAAUUUCAAUUAUGAGGUGCUUAAUCAACGUUCUUGCUCAAUAUUUUCAUACACUUUACAUUUACAAUAAAGUCACCAUGAGGAUAUGUACAUUAACUAUUUUGUCAAUUUUCACAGUCAGCAAUUGUGUCAAUACAUUGUGGAAUCGCGAUCCAAAGAUACUUAGAACAAAUACAUGCGUGGGAACAGAGGGUAUUCAUACAAAACUGCGUUUUCAAAAGCUUUGCGUUAAAGAUGAUAUGGCAAAAGAUCUGACGAAGGCUGUGGUUACUCUCCAUAAACUAAAAAUUGAUAUAAAUUAUUUAAAAGAUUACAUACCCGCGAUACGAAGUUUUAGAAAGAUGUUAAACAGGUGUAUUACUAGAAUACCUAUAACAACGACUACCACGACUACAACCAC